UACUGGAGAGUCCCGUUGAACGGGCGCCGAAGGUGUAAAACCGGUCAAAAUAUGAAGAAGAGCGCCUUGGCCGGUCAAUCUCUCAGGCAAAAGGACAGGAGA
This 102-nucleotide non-coding RNA is filed under the name uncultured Acetatifactor sp. RNAcentral describes it as "Glycine riboswitch". It matches the Rfam family "Glycine riboswitch aptamer", at positions 11 to 84 of the family's 94-position model. From Rfam's summary of the family: This family represents the bacterial glycine riboswitch. Glycine riboswitches usually consist of two metabolite-binding aptamers domains with similar structures in tandem. The record is from RNAcentral. Lineage: Bacteria; Bacillati; Bacillota; Clostridia; Lachnospirales; Lachnospiraceae.